This 254-nucleotide ribosomal RNA is filed under the name uncultured bacterium. RNAcentral's name for it is "partial 16S ribosomal RNA". It matches the Rfam family "Bacterial small subunit ribosomal RNA", at positions 524 to 776 of the family's 1533-position model. The record is from RNAcentral.
UACGUAGGGGGCGAGCGUUGUCCGGAUUUAUUGGGCGUAAAGCGCUCGUAGGCGGCUCAGUAAGUCGGGUGUGAAAACUCCAGGCUCAACCUGGAGACGCCACCCGAUACUGCUGUGGCUAGAGUCCGGUAGGGGAGCAUGGAAUUCCUGGUGUAGCGGUGAAAUGCGCAGAUAUCAGGAGGAACACCCGUAGCGAAGGCGGCACUCUGGGCCGAUACUGACACUGAGGAGCGAAAGCGUGGGGAGCGAACAGG